This 387-nucleotide unclassified non-coding RNA is filed under the name Hevea brasiliensis (rubber tree). The record is from RNAcentral. Lineage: Eukaryota; Viridiplantae; Streptophyta; Magnoliopsida; Malpighiales; Euphorbiaceae.
GAAGAUGAACAUGAAGAUUGACCGUGUCUGAAAACUUCUACUGCUGCUAUGUUCAUGUGAAGAAAGGAAGCAACCAAACGCUCUUAAGAACUUGUCGAUGAACUGAAGCUUCUAUGCUAUUAAGUUGAUGCUUUGGCUCAUCAAAACUUGUGAUUAGUUGAGGUAGGUUGAAGGAACUUCAUUAAUGGAGAAAGAGGCCACUUGAUCAUUUGUAGUUAAUUUUACUCCCCAUUUUCUGGUCAUUGACACUGCCAUAGGAACAUUAACAUCUUAUUUCCUCUUUCUAUUCUGUAAUUUUUUGGCACCAACAAUGUGCAUAAUGACUUUUGAUUUGUAAAAUAUUAGACUCGAAACCGUUUCGCGCCCUAAGGGAGUUGAUGUAAACUU